Molecule: ribosomal RNA, 303 nt
Filed under: uncultured bacterium
Lineage: Bacteria
Description: partial 16S ribosomal RNA
Rfam family: Bacterial small subunit ribosomal RNA
Source: RNAcentral
AGCAGCCGCCGCGGUAAUACGUAGGUGGCAAGCGUUGUCCGGAAUUAUUGGGCGUAAAGGGCUCGCAGGCGGUUUCUCAAGUCUGAUGUGAAAGCCCCCGGCUCAACCGGGGAGGGUCAUUGGAAACUGGGAAACUUGAGUGCAGAAGAGGAGAGUGGAAUUCCACGUGUAGCGGUGAAAUGCGUAGAGAUGUGGAGGAACACCAGUGGCGAAGGCGACUCUCUGGUCUGUAACUGACGCUGAGGAGCGAAAGCGUGGGGAGCGAACAGGAUUAGAUACCCCGGUAGUCCCUGUCUCUUAUAC